This 4744-nucleotide long non-coding RNA is filed under the name Bemisia tabaci. Its description in RNAcentral is "lncRNA ENSASIAIIG004455". The record is from RNAcentral. Lineage: Eukaryota; Metazoa; Arthropoda; Insecta; Hemiptera; Aleyrodidae.
GCGGAUUUCCUUUUUGUUCAAGCAAAUAUCCGAUUAAAAUCAAGACUACUUUUUCUCGUCAAUUUUUUUAAGAGUCUGGACUCCGGAUCCAAGAGACUUUUUUUCCAGUGUUUCAAUAAAAGUUAAUUAAUAUCUGUAAUCUCAAAAGUUAACGUUUAAUAACUUGAGUUGCUGAAUUUAUUCUAAAAUUACUCUCGAAUAAUCUCAUUUUGUCACGACUUGUCCCAUUUUUUUUUUUUUAUGAAUGAGCGACUCUUGGCCUUUAGUUCUUCAUCGAUGCGCUUGAUUUUACUCAGCGUUUUUUAACAUUUUUUUUUUUUGAAGCCCUUCUCGCAAUGAGUAUUCGUUUUGGUUUUUUCUGCAUGAUUAUCACAUCAUUAUCGACAGUAUAAUCAAAACUAAGGCACUACAAACUUUGAAAUGAUCGGUCAGGAACGUCAUAUUAAUACGUAUAAAACAUUUUAAGAUUUGUGCAAUGAAAGGAUUAGGUCUUAUAGGAUUGAGCGGCAUCACAGUGAGGACGCUCUUAAAAAUAGGUAAUGAUGAGAACUCUUUAUUUGGGAUGUUUUCAGGUGGUUAGCGUGGAAAAGACACAAGUUGACAGCACAUUGCACCUAGGAAAGCGGUCGAGCUACGAACGGAUGAGAUAACAUAAUCAUUAAUGAAAUCAGUGUGGCGUAGGGCGGAACUAAAAUUGUUUCCGCGAACAUAUACAUCUUCUUCAGCGAAUAAUUCCUGGUUCAGUAAUACGCGAGUUAAAAAGCUUGCUAGAAAACUUUACGCCACGUCUACCACAGAAACACCGCGAAGACCUCAUUUGAGCUCACCCUUUGAAUUGACGAGAAAAAUUGACGAGAGGCAAAAUUUAAGUAAAAAUAUAAUUAAAAAACUCUUUAAGAUAACGUGAUUUUUUACGUGAAAAUUUCUUUUUGCUAAAAUUUUUUUUUAAGUAUAUACUUAAAAUAGUGUUAAAAAAUUAGUGUAUUAAUUUCAAGAGUUUUUCAGAGUUUUUUUUUUAAUUAACAUAGAAUUUAAAUCAUACACUGUCACAACUAUACCGCAUUUAUCUAGUGGUAUCUAUUGACUAAGUUUUCAUUAAAUUAUUUACAGGAUUUAUCUAAAUGAAACUUAUGAUGAGUGUUACGGAUGAGAGUCGUGUUGCAAUUUAGACGGACUGAAACGUCUAAAUAACCCUCAUGGGCAUACUAGAAAUAGCGAGAUUUGUGGGAGAGCAAAGAAUUGAACGCAGUGAGUUUGAUGCACGAAUGAACUGUAUUAAAGAUGAGCACUUGGAAUAAAUUAACAAAAUUAACAAAGUUGCAAUGUCACAGAGAGAUAUGUGCCUUAAAGGCGAGAGAGGCACAGUGUACUUGUACGCUGUACGGGUCGGGGAUGGAAAUCGACUCGGGUCUGAGAUGAGAGAUGGAAGUAGAAAAGACCUAGAUUUUUAGGCAACCCACGCUUAUAUAGACUUGCUGACGUCACGGGUGGUGAGACAACAAGGCUAUGCGUGUUUGGUUGGCUAUAAUCUAUGUAGGUAUCAGUUGCAAGUCUGGUAAUUAAAGUAAUGGGUAAUAAGAAGCGAUGUUGGAAAGAUAGGGGUAAAAAAGUAGAAAGUGGACCGAAUCCAGCAAGUCCUAAUGACUAUACUGAGAGUUUAAGAAAAAUAUUGAAAAUACUAAGGGAAAAUACGAGUUGGUGUUGACAUCCCCUGGGGAGAGAAAAUUGCGACCUCGCAAUUCAAAAAUAAAAAAAAGUAAACAAAAAAUGGGCCAGAAGGGCGGAAAUGGGGUGUCAAGAUAAAAAAAGAAAAACGAGUAUAAGUUAAAAAAUUAUGGAAAAAUAUGAGCGAAAAAGAGAGAGGGAAAGAAUACCUUGCAACGGAUAACUACACAAAUUAUAGACUUGAUCUGAACUAGUACACUGAUGGUAUAAAAAUCAUGAAAGUAAUUGAAACAAUACCAAGAAAUGUGGCAUAUGUGUACCAGGUUGACAGAAAGGAAUGUCAGUUACAAAGCAAAAUGACCAGUAGUGAGAUAAGAAUUCGUAAACAAAAGGUAGCAAGCGAGCAAUUGAUAAAGAGUGUAGGUCAAGUGCGGCCACCCAAAGAAAAGAAAUUACAGAGAUUGAAAAGAUUCGACAAAAUUAAGUGCCAGACUAGCGGAAAGUAAACAGUUGAGAUUGAUGAGAUUGACAAAAGAGUAAAAAUUAAUCGCAGAACAGACGGUGCAACAAAAAAAGGUAAUAACGAAAAAUACGAUUCAAGAAAUUAUCAAAAUGAGGGAAUCGCUGUAGAGUGAUUAACAAAAUUGAUGAACUUAUUAACAAAUGUUAAAAAUAUUGAGUAAUAAAAUACAGAAUACAUCCGUAAGGAUAGAGUAUCGCGAGCGCGAAGAUAAUUGACGACACUAGGAGUGCCUGAGAGAGAGAGUAAUAAGAUAAGAUAAGAUAAGAUACAGUGAAUUAUACAUGUCGAGAAAAGAGUACAUUUGUAAUCAGAUUAUUUUUUAUGAUUGCAGGUGAGUAGCUGAUGCAACUUUACACUUAAUGACAGUGGUGGUGGGUAAGUACGCAAAAAUGGAGCAACGGAAUUUACAGAAAAAAGAAAAGACCUGAAAAAAAGAAUGAUUAGACAUGACAAGAAAAAUUUAGGGUGGUGGGAGGGGGGGGGAAAGAAAGAUAAAUACACUGGACCAACCUUAAGCAAUCACUACAACUAUCACUUAAGCACGUAACACUUUAAUCCAGGUGGGCGGAAGUAGUGCACUAGUGCACAAAAAGUAGAAAGUGGACCGAAUCCAGCAAGUCCUAAUGACUAUACUGAGAGUUUAAGAAAAAUAUUGAAAAUACUAAGGGAAAAUACGAGUUGGUGUUGACAAUGAGACUGUACGAUUACAAUCGACAUACUUAUCAUUUAAGUGCGUGGAAUGUAAUCCCUCCGCCUACUGAUUUAAUAUUACCAGAGUCUUCCAAGAGUUUUUUUUUCAACAACUAUUGGAUUAUUUGUAUGUAAAUUCGACCUUUCGUAUACAAUUGUAUGUAAAAAAAUCCCAGGAAAGGUUUCCUUUUUCGUAAAGUCUAACAGUUUUAUCAAACAUUUUUCAAUUAAAAUUUACAUGUUUCUAAGAGAUUUCUUACAGUCCCUGCUACCAGGGAUACUUAUUCAAGAAAAUGGCAUCGUCUCGAAGUGGCGAGUCGAUUUGGAAGGGAAUGCUGCCAUUGGUGCAUUGGUGUGGAUUUCAUAGUUAAUAGAUUGUGUUGUUCUUUCUUUCCUUCCUUCUAACUGGAGGUUGGAUAUCACCGCCUCACAAAACUGGAGGUUGGAUCUUCCUUAGGGCUUGAGUCAUGUGAUGAUGGGCGCAGCAACUCAAAGGUUCAUAAAAAUAGGUUUAAUUCAACAGGAUGUUUGCGGUCAAAUGCUGUCAGUGCCAAGCUGGUUGGCACGAUUAACAGUAACUGGAAUAUCCUGGUAGCUUUUAGAAGUUUUAAAAAUUAGAGUUUUUCUGUUCUUAGCGGCGAAUCUGCAGGGAAUGAAGAUCAUGGUGUGGUGCGGUAUCGUUUUCGUUGAUAUUAUUGCUGUCGUCGCUAUUGUUCUAUAAUCUUUCCAUAAAACCAACCGUCUAGACAUCCUUUCUCUGUCCAUUGGUGCAACAGUCCUUUAAAAUUAUCAUAUGAUAUUCCUAGCUGUGUUAAGUUGUUGUUGUAUGAGCUAGUAAACUUUGUGGAUUUCACAGUAGAUGGCAUGAGUUGAUCUCUUUUUCUCUUCUUCCUUUCUAAUUGAAGGUUGGAUCCCUUCCAAGGGCUCGUGUCAUGUGAUGAUGGGCGCGCAUUGGCCCAUAGGGUCACAAGAAAACAGGUUGAAUUCAGCGAAUUGUGUGAAGUUCAUUGCUGGCAUCAGGGCCAGGCGGGUUGGCACGAUUAACAAGAACUGGAAUAUCUUGGAAGUUUUUAGAAUUUGUAAAAAUUUCGAGUAUCAUUGGGGGUAUCAUUUGCAUCAAUUCUUGGGUUUUCCUCUCCGUUUUUAAGUAGGUUUAUUUUUCUUAUUUCGUCAUACCCGGUAGCCUCGAUCUUUGAGUUUCCUGCUUCAGAGUGGUUUUUAUUUUCUUUCAAUUGGUCUCUGUUCAAAAGUUGAGUCACAUGCUUCUUCUUAUACACUAUCUAUCUAUGAAUAAACUAUCUAUCUAACACCGGAGGGCGACGUAAAUUGCGCAUCGUCUUCACUUCAUGUUUUUGGUGUUCAGUUCAGUCCUUGCAGUGCUUGUGAAAUUUUUUACAGCAAGUAGUGAAAUAGCACACAAAAAUUCCAAGGAACAAUAAAAAAAGCAAAGAUUUUGCACUAAAUCCUGAGAAAAGGUAAAUAUGGUGUGUGUUAUUUGAAUCCUUAAGGGGCGUGGUUAUGUCGUUGCUAGUGACGCCCAUACUUAUGAGCGAAUAAAAGGAAACUGUCCUUAAGACAAAAGAAGCAGCAAAACACUCUUGCAACAUAAAAAAUUUAGCGGUAAUUUUAACUUUUUUUUUAAUUUGUUCACGUAUCAACUUCUUGUACAUAGAAAUAAGAUAUUUUGUUUUAACUUACAAAUAAAUAAUUGUUAUCAACUAAAUUUUUUUUUUUUAUUAAUUGAAAAAAUGUACAACCACCCCAACUGGGGUGUCAAUUACAAUUUGUUUAAUGGUUCUUAAUUACUAGCUCUUAACCUGUACUUAGAUUUAAGACUAUUAUUUUAACAAUAAAUUCAUACAACAU